UGGCGACCGGCGCACGGGUGCGUAACGCGUAUGCAACCUACCUUUAACAGGGGGAUAACACUGAGAAAUUGGUACUAAUACCCCAUAAUAUCAUAGAAGGCAUCUUUUAUGGUUGAAAAUUCCGAUGGUUAGGGAUGGGCAUGCGUUGUAUUAGCUAGUUGGUGGGGUAACGGCUCACCAAGGCGACGAUACAUAGGGGGACUGAGAGGUUAACCCCCCACACUGGUACUGAGACACGGACCAG
This 244-nucleotide ribosomal RNA is filed under the name uncultured bacterium. Its description in RNAcentral is "partial 16S ribosomal RNA". It matches the Rfam family "Bacterial small subunit ribosomal RNA", at positions 89 to 334 of the family's 1533-position model. The record is from RNAcentral.